AACGAACGCUGGCGGCAUGCCUAACACAUGCAAGUCGAACGAGACCUUCGGGUCUAGUGUCGCACGGGUGCGUAACGCGUGGGAACCUGCCCUUAGGUUCGGAAUAACUCCCCGAAAGGGGUGCUAAUACCGGAUAAUGUCUUCGGACCAAAGAUUUAGCGCCUUUGGAUGGGCCCGCGGUGGAUUAGCUAGUUGGUAGGGUAAAAGCGUACCAAGGCGACGAUCCAUAGCUGGUCUGAGAGGAUGAGCAGCCACACUGGGACUGAGACACGGCCCAGACUCCUACGGAAGGCAGCAGUGGGGAAUAUAGGACAACGGGCGAAAGCAUGAUGCAGCAAUGGCGCGAGAGUGAUGAAGGCCUUAGAGUAGUAAAGCUCUUUUACCCGGGAUGAUAAUGACAGUACCGGAAGAAUAAGCACCGGCUAACUCCGUG
This 433-nucleotide ribosomal RNA is filed under the name uncultured bacterium. RNAcentral's name for it is "partial 16S ribosomal RNA". It matches the Rfam family "Bacterial small subunit ribosomal RNA", at positions 29 to 507 of the family's 1533-position model. The record is from RNAcentral.